ACGAGCGAGUGCUUAAAACUCAAAGAACUUGGCGGCUUGUUAACUACCUAGGGGAAUAUGCGCCUUAAUCCGAUGGUCCCCGUAGCAUCUUACUGGAUCUUGAAAAAGUGCAGUUGGUGUAUUGCCGUUGUCAGCUUGUUGUUCGAGCAAGGAAAAACAGGCUUAAUGGAUCUUGGUGAUUAUGUUCACGAGAACCCGUGAAUUCAGGUCGUAAUGCUGCCUACGGUCCAAGGGAGUGGGUAUUACAAUUUAUAUUUAAAAUUACGGAACUUUAUUUUGAAAUUUUAGAGUGGAAGGUGAACUUAGGAGUAA
This 312-nucleotide ribosomal RNA is filed under the name Nodipecten nodosus. RNAcentral's name for it is "partial 12S ribosomal RNA". It matches the Rfam family "Bacterial small subunit ribosomal RNA", at positions 882 to 1341 of the family's 1533-position model. Lineage: Eukaryota; Metazoa; Mollusca; Bivalvia; Pectinida; Pectinidae. The record is from RNAcentral.